Molecule: ribosomal RNA, 516 nt
Filed under: uncultured bacterium
Lineage: Bacteria
Description: bacterial SSU rRNA
Rfam family: Bacterial small subunit ribosomal RNA
Source: RNAcentral
UGUCCGGAAUUAUUGGGCGUAAAGAGCUUGUAGGCGGUUUGUCGCGUCUGCAGUGAAAAUCCGAGGCUCAACCUCGGACUUGCUGUGGGUACGGGCAGACUAGAGUAUGGUAGGGGAGACCGGAAUUCCUGGUGUAGCGGUGGAAUGCGCAGAUAUCAGGAGGAACACCGAUGGCGAAGGCAGGUCUCUGGGCCAUAACUGACGCUGAGAAGCGAAAGCAUGGGGAGCGAACAGGAUUAGAUACCCUGGUAGUCCAUGCCGUAAACGUUGGGCGCUAGGUGUGGGGCUCAUUCCACGAGCUCCGUGCCGCAGCUAACGCAUUAAGCGCCCCGCCUGGGGAGUACGGCCGCAAGGCUAAAACUCAAAGGAAUUGACGGGGGCCCGCACAAGCGGCGGAGCAUGCGGAUUAAUUCGAUGCAACGCGAAGAACCUUACCAAGGCUUGACAUAUACCGGAAACAUCCAGAGAUGGGUGCCCCGCAAGGUCGGUAUACAGGUGGUGCAUGGUUGUCGUCAG